AGUCUUAUACGACCAGCUCCUGCUGAACUCCCCCAGGACCGGAAGGUAGCAAGGGUAGGCGGUUGAAGCGGUGCGAUAUAAG
This 82-nucleotide signal recognition particle RNA is filed under the name Bacteroidales bacterium. Its description in RNAcentral is "signal recognition particle sRNA small type". It matches the Rfam family "Bacteroidales small SRP", at positions 13 to 93 of the family's 107-position model. Rfam says of the family: The non-coding component of the signal recognition particle in Bacteroides The record is from RNAcentral. Lineage: Bacteria; Pseudomonadati; Bacteroidota; Bacteroidia; Bacteroidales.